UACGUAGGGUGCAAGCGUUAAUCGGAAUUACUGGGCGUAAAGCGUGCGCAGGCGGUGAUGUAAGACAGGCGUGAAAUCCCCGGGCUUAACCUGGGAACUGCGUUUGUGACUGCAAGGCUAGAGUACGGCAGAGGGGGGUGGAAUUCCACGUGUAGCAGUGAAAUGCGUAGAGAUGUGGAGGAACACCAAUGGCGAAGGCAGCCCCCUGGGUCGAUACUGACGCUCAUGCACGAAAGCGUGGGUAGCAAACAGG
This 253-nucleotide ribosomal RNA is filed under the name uncultured bacterium. RNAcentral's name for it is "partial 16S ribosomal RNA". It matches the Rfam family "Bacterial small subunit ribosomal RNA", at positions 524 to 776 of the family's 1533-position model. The record is from RNAcentral.